Molecule: ribosomal RNA, 286 nt
Filed under: Buttiauxella izardii
Lineage: Bacteria; Pseudomonadati; Pseudomonadota; Gammaproteobacteria; Enterobacterales; Enterobacteriaceae
Description: partial 16S ribosomal RNA
Rfam family: Bacterial small subunit ribosomal RNA
Source: RNAcentral
CCCGCAACGAGCCCCACCCUUAUCCUUUGUUGCCAGCGGUUCGGCCGGGAACUCACAGGAGACUGCCAGUGAUAAACUGGAGGAAGGUGGUCAUGACGUCAAGUCAUCAUGGCCCUUACGAGUAGGGCUACACACGUGCUACAAUGGCGCAUACAAAGAGAAGCGACCUCGCGAGAGCAAGCGGACCUCAUAAAGUGCGUCGUAGUCCGGAUCGGAGUCUGCAACUCGACUCCUUGAAGUCGGAAUCGCUAGUAAUCGUAGAUCAGAAUGCUACGGUGAAUACGUU